This 2636-nucleotide long non-coding RNA is filed under the name Bemisia tabaci. RNAcentral describes it as "lncRNA ENSSWEETPG010403". The record is from RNAcentral. Lineage: Eukaryota; Metazoa; Arthropoda; Insecta; Hemiptera; Aleyrodidae.
AAAUGAUAUGUUUGGCAACAAAAAUACUUUUAGUAAUUAUUUUGAAUAAUCUGUAUGAAAUAUUAAUUUAUUUUAAAAUCGUUUUUUACAGUGAUGAAAAUCAAAUUGGAGAUGAUCAUGAAGUUGAGAAAAACAUAGAAGAAGUUUUACACUUUGGUCAUGAGUCCAUUUUGAAGGAAGGAAAUGUCAUAACACCUGAAUCCAGUUGUGAAAAUAGUGAAACACCAAUCCAAAGCACUGAUGAAACUAAGUCAACGGAAUCUGAACAAGUGAAUCCUGAAAAAGAGCACUGUAAAGACAGCGUAGUGGAGGCUCACCUUUCACCAGUAGCUGUUGAGAAUUUUACAUCUGAACUUCAAUCAGAGGAAUCAGAAACUGAAGAAAUUACAGAGACUUGCGAGAGCUCAAAUGAAAAUGCCAUCAUAAACGAAGCAUCCGAUGAACCUUUGGAACAAGCUAAGUCACCAGAGCCUGUCUUUGGUGGGGCUAUUGAUGCUACUAACUCUUACUUUCCCCAACCAUUCUUGGGAGACAUCCAUUUUGGAGCGCAAGGCAUGAGUGCCGCACCUACGCCACCAGACGAUACUGAAUUGAGUUUUAUCGGCUCUCCUGAUAUUGUUACUCCACCUGUGUCCCCCUUACGCAACUAUACUACACAAAUGUCACCACCUCUGUCACCCAUAACUGGAGACAGUCCUCUCGUUGCUGCCUCUACUCAGUCGCAGACAAAAAAAAAUUCCACACAAAAACCUUUCAAUGUGAAACGGAUACAUAUGUUUUCUCCACGUCCAGAUGAUAUGAGUGACUGUGAAGAUAUACUCACCAUGGAUUUAGAUAUCAGUAAUGAAGAUUCAGUUGAGGCAAGUUCUGUGCAAGUGGAUACUGGCACAGAAAUUCGGGAAGCAGAUGAACUCAUGGAUGAUAUAAAUUCAGAUGAAGAUGAUAUCUUGAGCCUUGUCCAUGAGGAAUUCAUCUGUCGUAAAUUACUAUCACCCCUACCGUCAAAAGAGCCACCAUACGAAACUAGUCCUGUUAAGCCGACCAAGAAAACGUCUGAAGCUGAUGAAGCUCUGGAAGUAAAUUUGGUUAACAAAAACAAAAAAUGUGAAGAAACUAAUGCUCAUUUAGAUAAUAGAAGCAAUAAACCUAUAGAGAAAAAACCAAAAACUUCCCGAACAACUGUUAAACAGCGGCUAGCUUCUAGGUUGAGAAAUCUGCAUCGUAUCUCUAAUAGUAACCUGUUACUGAAACGCUCAUCACAAAGCUUUCAAUCAACAGCUUCAAAUAAGCCAAAUAAUCUAGUCCAAGAACACACAUCUGAAGAACCAGUGCACAAAAGGAGGAAAACUAGAUCAUCGCCUCGUAAAAACAAAACUGUUGAGCUUGCCAAUGAUGCCAGAUGUAAAGAUGUUGCAGACAAUAAUGACGUUCAAAAAUGUGUAUCAUUCGAAAAAGUAUCAAUAGAACAUAAAAUUAAGAAAAAUGGCAGGAAUGAAGCUGAUCUGAGUAGUAAUGCUAACAGUAAGUUAAAUGAUAGUAUAAUGAAUAACUCCUCGAAGUUGAAAACUCAAAAGGAGGUAAUAGCAGCCAGUACAACAAAUGUAAAACCAGCAGUCCAUACAAUUUCUAUUAUGGAGUGCUCUAAUACAGAAUAUUCCAGUGAAGUCUCUAAUUCUGAAAUAAUGAAUCAAAAUAAUGAAAGAAGGAAGGAAAUCAAACCCUCUCCUCGCAACAUCCAAAUUGUAGAACCUGCUUCCAUGGAUAAUCAUCAACAGAAAAGAGGAAGUGAUGUUCAGCAAAGUAUCUCUCAAGAGGAAAUAUCGAAACACAGCUCAGUCUGUGCAAGUAGCAGUAAUAAAGUUGAUCAAAUAAGUAAUGCUAUUAUAAAGUCAAAAAGUAGCAUAGAAAUUGAUCAUCCUGAGUCAAAAUCUUCAUGUAAAACUAAGAACAUCAGCUCAAUGAAUGACAAGGAUGCAUGUAGUUUGAUUUCAGACACCAAAUUCAUGAACUGGAACAUGCAAGUCCAAAAACUGAUUGUGAAACUUCAAAUCCAAAUGAAGGGAAAGUCAGAAUAAGUAGAUCUUCCCCUCGAAUGGGCAAAAGUAUUGGGUCUACGCUCAUUGAAAAUUGUCAAGGUAGAGAACAAAAUCACGAGUUUGAACAACUUACCUCAAUAGGAGAAGUUUCAAAAGGAAGCUCUGUUGGUUUGAAUUAUUCGAAUCAAGUGGAUCAGAGUCAUCCAUCCCAUGUUAAGACUGAUAUUAGUAUAAGCAAUAAUUACUGUAAUAAGUUGGACUCUCUCAAUGAAAUCACCCAAGCAACCUCAACGAAUUUUAAAAUUCCACCAGUAUUCAUCUCUGAAAAAAAUCGGUUGAACUCAGAAUCUUCUAACAACAUGACUGAUUUUGUAGCUACAGACAAAAUUCCUGAAAGACCCAAAGUUUCGGCAUCUUCCGUGCUUGAAAAUCUAAAAGAGCAGAUAAUAUCAGAUUCAGAGGUUUCAACGGAUUCGUAUAAAUCCGAACGUAAUUGUUUGUGGACAAUGUUUAAAUUCUACAAGGAGGAUCAUUGCCAAAAAGCUGUGGAAGUUGAAGAUAUCAAGAAAGUAGAGAAACCUCUACCUUAUCCGAAUAGAC